ACUGCCGGCCUCCGCGCUACCCGGCCGCAGCGCGCGAGUCACAUGGAGGCUCCUGAGGAGCCCGCGCCAGUGCGCGGAGGCCCGGAGGCCACCCUUGAGGUCCAUGGGUCGCGCUGCCUGCGGCUGUCCGCCUUCCGAGAAGAGCUGCGGGCGCUCUUGGUCCUGGCUGGCCCCGCGUUCUUGGUUCAGCUGAUGGUGUUCCUGAUCAGCUUCAUAAGCUCCGUGUUCUGUGGCCACCUGGGCAAGCUGGAGCUGGAUGCAGUCACGCUGGCGAUUGCGGUUAUCAAUGUCACUGGUGUCUCAGUGGGAUUCGGCUUAUCUUCUGCCUGUGACACCCUCAUCUCCCAGACGUAUGGGAGCCAGAACCUGAAGCACGUGGGCGUGAUCCUGCAGCGGAGUGCGCUCGUCCUGCUCCUCUGCUGCUUCCCCUGCUGGGCACUCUUUCUCAACACCCAGCACAUCCUGCUGCUCUUCAGGCAGGACCCAGAUGUGUCCAGGCUUACCCAGACCUAUGUCACGAUCUUCAUUCCAGCUCUUCCUGCAACCUUUCUUUAUAUGUUACAAGUUAAAUAUUUGCUCAACCAGGGAAUUGUACUGCCCCAGAUCGUAACUGGAGUUGCAGCCAACCUUGUCAAUGCCCUCGCCAACUAUCUGUUUCUCCAUCAACUGCAUCUUGGGGUGAUAGGCUCUGCACUGGCAAACUUGAUUUCCCAGUACACCCUGGCUCUACUCCUCUUUCUCUACAUCCUCGGGAAAAAACUGCAUCAAGCUACAUGGGGAGGCUGGUCCCUCGAGUGCCUGCAGGACUGGGCCUCCUUCCUCCGCCUGGCCGUCCCCAGCAUGCUCAUGCUGUGCAUGGAGUGGUGGGCCUAUGAGGUCGGGAGCUUCCUCAGUGGUCUGUAUGAGGAUGGAUGACGGGGACUGGUGGGAACCUGGGGGCCCUGUCUGGGUGCAAGGCGACAGCUGUCUUUCUUCACCAGGCAUCCUCGGCAUGGUGGAGCUGGGCGCUCAGUCCAUCGUGUAUGAACUGGCCAUCAUUGUGUACAUGAGACAUCAUUAAUCUGGUGGCUCAGGUGGUUCCAAUUUAUGCUGUUUCCCACCUCUUUGAAGCUCUUGCUUGCACGAGUGGUGGCGUUCUGAGGGGGAGUGGAAAUCAGAAGGUUGGAGCCAUUGUGAAUACCAUUGGGUACUAUGUGGUUGGCCUCCCCAUCGGGAUCGUGCUGAUGUUUGCAACCACACUUGGAGUGAUGGGUCUGUGGUCAGGGAUCAUCAUCUGUACAGUCUUUCAAGCUGUGUGUUUUCUAGGCUUUAUUAUUCAGCUAAAUUGGAAAAAAGCCUGUCAGCAGGCUCAGGUACACGCCAAUUUGAAAGUAAACAACGUGCCUCGGAGUGGGAAUUCUGCUGUCCCUCAGGAUCCGCUUCACCCAGGGUGCCCUGAAAACCUUGAAGGAAUUUUAACGAACGAUGUUGGAAAGACAGGCGAGCCUCAGUCAGAUCAGCAGAUGCGCCAAGAAGAACCUUUGCCGGAACAUCCACAGGACGGCGCUAAAUUGUCCAGGAAACAGCUGGUGCUGCGGCGAGGGCUUCUGCUCCUGGGGGUCUUCUUAAUCUUGCUGGCUGGAGUGCGGUGGUGCGAUCAUAGCUCACUGCAGCCUGGAACUCUUGGGCUUCAAGCAAUCCUCCUGUGUCAGCCACCAGAGUAGCUGAGACUACAGGGCUGGUGAAACUGUGUGCUGUAAGCUGGGACCAGCUUUAUCCAUAACUGCUGAGAUAACUUGCUGAAGCUCUAGGAAUAAUUUUGCCUGCCCGGUUGCUCACCAGUUGUAGCUUGCCAGCUCCCAGCACCCUUCCUGGUGCCAAUAAACUUUCUCAAAGAGCAA
Molecule: small RNA, 1880 nt
Filed under: Pan troglodytes (chimpanzee)
Lineage: Eukaryota; Metazoa; Chordata; Mammalia; Primates; Hominidae
Description: retained intron
Source: RNAcentral